AUGAAGAAACUACCGUACAGAAUGGCACACAAAUCUGCACGUGUCAUUGUCUGGAGCAGCAUAAUGUGUGGGCAGCUAAACAUUCCUAGACUGAAAAAGGAAAAUCAUAUACCUGUUCAGUUCACAUGUAUGUUUUCACACAAAUCACUAGCUCAUAUGCAAAUCACCAACCUGCAUGCACCGCUGCCUCUACUUCAGCCAUCAUCAGCACACAAACUUAAAACAGCACAGAAAACUAUGAUCACGAACGGCGGCAACAUGACCAAACUAACCAACCAAGCAAGAAGGAUAACUCGUGCGCACCGAUUAAUAGUUACAGUGAUAUGCAGCUAA
RNAcentral lists this ribosomal RNA (333 nucleotides) under Triticum aestivum (bread wheat). Its description in RNAcentral is "partial small subunit ribosomal RNA". The record is from RNAcentral. Lineage: Eukaryota; Viridiplantae; Streptophyta; Magnoliopsida; Poales; Poaceae.